Molecule: ribosomal RNA, 305 nt
Filed under: uncultured bacterium
Lineage: Bacteria
Description: partial 16S ribosomal RNA
Rfam family: Bacterial small subunit ribosomal RNA
Source: RNAcentral
ACAGCAGCAGCCACGGGAAUACGAAGGGGGCUAGCGUUGUUCGGAACCACUGGGCGUAAAGCGCACGUAGGCGGACCUUUAAGUCAGGGGUGAAAGCCUGGAGCUCAACUCCAGAACUGCCUUUGAUACUGGAGGUCUCGAGUGUGGAAGAGGUUGGUGGAACUGCGAGUGUAGAGGUGAAAUUCGUAGAUAUUCGCAAGAACACCAGUGGCGAAGGCGGCCAACUGGUCCAUUACUGACGCUGAGGUGCGAAAGCGUGGGGAGCAAACAGGAUUAGAUACCCCCGUAGUCCCUGUCUCUUAUAC